Molecule: ribosomal RNA, 1345 nt
Filed under: uncultured bacterium
Lineage: Bacteria
Description: bacterial SSU rRNA
Rfam family: Bacterial small subunit ribosomal RNA
Source: RNAcentral
GAUGAACGCUAGCGGGAGGCCUAACACAUGCAAGCCGAGCGGUAGAGAUUCUUCGGAAUCUUGAGAGCGGCGUACGGGUGCGGAACACGUGUGCAACCUACCUUUAUCAGGGGGAUAGCCUUUCGAAAGGAAGAUUAAUACCCCAUAAUAUAUUGAAUGGCAUCAUUUAAUAUUGAAAACUCCGGUGGAUAGAGAUGGGCACGCGCAAGAUUAGAUAGUUGGUAGGGUAACGGCCUACCAAGUCAAUGAUCUUUAGGGGGCCUGAGAGGGUGAUCCCCCACACUGGUACUGAGACACGGACCAGACUCCUACGGGAGGCAGCAGUGAGGAAUAUUGGACAAUGGGUGAGAGCCUGAUCCAGCCAUCCCGCGUGAAGGACGACGGCCCUAUGGGUUGUAAACUUCUUUUGUAUAGGGAUAAACCUACUCUCGUGAGAGUAGCUGAAGGUACUAUACGAAUAAGCACCGGCUAACUCCGUGCCAGCAGCCGCGGUAAUACGGAGGGUGCAAGCGUUAUCCGGAUUUAUUGGGUUUAAAGGGUCCGUAGGCGGGCUUGUAAGUCAGUGGUGAAAUCUCAUAGCUUAACUAUGAAACUGCCAUUGAUACUGCAGGUCUUGAGUAAAGUAGAAGUGGCUGGAAUAAGUAGUGUAGCGGUGAAAUGCAUAGAUAUUACUUAGAACACCAAUUGCGAAGGCAGGUCACUAUGUUUUAACUGACGCUGAUGGACGAAAGCGUGGGGAGCGAACAGGAUUAGAUACCCUGGUAGUCCACGCCGUAAACGAUGCUAACUCGUUUUUGGGUUUUCGGAUUCAGAGACUAAGCGAAAGUGAUAAGUUAGCCACCUGGGGAGUACGUUCGCAAGAAUGAAACUCAAAGGAAUUGACGGGGGCCCGCACAAGCGGUGGAUUAUGUGGUUUAAUUCGAUGAUACGCGAGGAACCUUACCAAGGCUUAAAUGGGAAUUGACAGGUUUAGAAAUAGACUUUUCUUCGGACAAUUUUCAAGGUGCUGCAUGGUUGUCGUCAGCUCGUGCCGUGAGGUGUUAGGUUAAGUCCUGCAACGAGCGCAACCCCUGUCACUAGUUGCCAUCAUUCAGUUGGGGACUCUAGUGAGACUGCCUACGCAAGUAGAGAGGAAGGUGGGGAUGACGUCAAAUCAUCACGGCCCUUACGCCUUGGGCCACACACGUAAUACAAUGGCCGGUACAGAGGGCAGCUACCUAGCGAUAGGAUGCGAAUCUCGAAAGCCGGUCUCAGUUCGGAUUGGAGUCUGCAACUCGACUCUAUGAAGCUGGAAUCGCUAGUAAUCGCAUAUCAGCCAUGAUGCGGUGAAUACGUUCCCGGGCCU